Gallus gallus (chicken) is the source of this 1100-nucleotide long non-coding RNA. Lineage: Eukaryota; Metazoa; Chordata; Aves; Galliformes; Phasianidae. The record is from Ensembl.
UAGGAAACUUCUCUUUAUUGUUAAUACUGAGCUGUUUCUAUUCUUUGCUGAAGAUCGGUGCAACGGAAACUGGUGUGUUCACCACUGAGAACUCAACACAGCUGAGCGAUCCUGAUCUCAUGCUGAUUUACCUCCUUUUUGACUGCUUUGUGCCAUCUAAUUUCUGCAUAAGUUGUUAGUGCAGUAAUAUUAUGCAGAUGCUGCAAAGUGUGUACACUAACUGUGUAACAAGAUUGAAAUCCAAGUAUCCGGGUUACAUGAGGGUUGAGACACCGUUGCACUAGCAGUAGAUUUUAUUAGGAUAUUUCCUGGGUAUCACUCUAGGUGCCUCUCUCUUUGUCGUUAACAAGUUUGGUCGGUCCACCCAAAGCUCGUUUGGGUGUAAGCACUGUUGGGUUGAACCCUGUAUGAUAAAAACAAAUUCAUGAAUGUUCCAGGAGGAGUUCUGUCCACUACAAACCUUUUUAAAAAGUAGCGAAUAAAGAGAAGUGAUGAGAGACUGGCUCAAUCUUUAGAAUGCAACCCUAAUCUGAAUUUCUUUUAUAGAAGGUAAAAGCAGGAAGGUUCUUAUAAUGUGCUAUACUACCAAUAAUCCAGCUGCUGCUUUUUUGCCAGGUCAGGAGUGAUCUGUGGAAGAAAAAAUUGUUUUCUUUUUCCUCUUCCCUUGACUUGUUAAGAUUUGUGUGGCUGUUUCUUGCCAUUGAGGAGUAUGAACUACAACUUCUGAUCUUAGUGUUGUGACAGCAAAGGAAAUUAUUUGGAGCUGGAUAGGUCAAAGGAGAAUGGGAGGGGGGCUUAAAAGUUGUUUCCAGUAGGCCAAAAGAAUGUGGAUACUGUCUCUUCAAGGUGCAAUUUCUUACUUCAACAAACUGUUCAUCUAAGAGAAACAGGGAUAAAAGUGUUCAAUUUGGGACCUAAGGAGUUUGUAUGGAAAUUCUUGGAUUUCUUCCAAACACACAUACUUACAGAAGUGCGUGUGUAUGUGUGUGUUUGUGAGUGUGUGUUAAUGCUAUGUCUCUUUUGGAUCUCUUGACACUUUUUGGUGCAUUUUUGUACUUCUUUGAAUGUGCAUAUGCGUACUUACCGAUGGUAUAUUGACG